GACGAACGCUGGCGGCGUGCUUAACACAUGCAAGUCGAACGGAAAGGCCCUGCUUUUGUGGGGUGCUCGAGUGGCGAACGGGUGAGUAACACGUGAGUAACCUGCCCUUGACUUUGGGAUAACUUCAGGAAACUGGGGCUAAUACCGGAUAGGAGCCCCCGCUGCAUGGUGGGGGUUGGAAAGUUUCGGCGGUUGGGGAUGGACUCGCGGCUUAUCAGCUUGUUGGUGGGGUAGUGGCUUACCAAGGCUUUGACGGGUAGCCGGCCUGAGAGGGUGACCGGCCACAUUGGGACUGAGAUACGGCCCAGACUCCUACGGGAGGCAGCAGUGGGGAAUAUUGCACAAUGGGCGGAAGCCUGAUGCAGCAACGCCGCGUGCGGGAUGACGGCCUUCGGGUUGUAAACCGCUUUCGCCUGUGACGAAGCGUGAGUGACGGUAAUGGGUAAAGAAGCACCGGCUAACUACGUG
Molecule: ribosomal RNA, 468 nt
Filed under: uncultured bacterium
Lineage: Bacteria
Description: partial 16S ribosomal RNA
Rfam family: Bacterial small subunit ribosomal RNA
Source: RNAcentral